This 259-nucleotide ribosomal RNA is filed under the name uncultured archaeon. Its description in RNAcentral is "partial 16S ribosomal RNA". It matches the Rfam family "Archaeal small subunit ribosomal RNA", at positions 748 to 1008 of the family's 1478-position model. The record is from RNAcentral.
AGGGUGUAAACGCUGCAGACUUGGUGUUGGAGGCCCUUUGGGGGCAUUCAGUGCCGGAGAGAAGUUGCUAAGUCUGCUACUUGGGGAGUACGUCCGCAAGGAUGAAACUUAAAGGAAUUGGCGGGGGAGGCACCGCAACGGGAGGAGCGUGCGGUUUAAUUGGAUUCAACACCGUAAAACUCACCAGGGAAGACUGUUACAUGAAGGCCGAGAUGAAGACUCUGCUAGAUUUUCAGAGAGGUGCAUGGCGUCAGUGACU